AUAAAUGCAAGUCGAGCGGUUCAGCAAUGGAUAGCGGCAGACGGGUGCGUAACGCGUAUGAAACUUGCCCUACACAGGAGGAUAGCCUUGGGAAACUGAGAGUAACCCUCCAUAGUAUUAUAAUGCCGCAUGGUAUAAUAAUUAAAACUUCGGUGGUGUAGGAUAGUCGUGCGUCCGAUUAGCUAGUUGGUGAGGUAAUGGCUCACCAAGGCGACGAUCGGUAGCUGGUCUGAGAGGAUGAUCAGCCACACGGGCACUGAGACACGGGCCCGACUCCUACGGGAGGCAGCAGUAAGGAAUAUUGGACAAUGGACGGAAGUCUGAUCCAGCCAUCCCGCGUGGAGGAAUAAGGCCCUAUGGGUUGUAAACUCCUUUAGCAGGGGAAUAAAAAGGUCAUUCAUGAUCAAUUGAAGGUACCCUGAGAAUAAGCACCGGCUAACUCCGUGCCAGCAGCCGCGGUAAUACGGAGGGUGCAAGCGUUAUCCGGAUUUACUGGGUUUAAAGGGUGCGUAGGCGGACUUUUAAGUCAAAUGUGAAAGCUUGCAGCUUAACUGUAAGAUUGCGUUUGAUACUGGAAGUCUUGAAUAUGGUAGAAGUUGGCGGAAUAAAUCAUGUAGCGGUGAAAUGCUUAGAUAUGAUUUAGAACACCGAUUGCGAAGGCAGCUAGCUAUGUCAUAAUUGACGCUGAGGCACGAAAGCGUGGGGAUCAAACAGGAUUAGAUACGCUGGUAGUCCACGCCCUAAACGAUGAAUACUCGUUGUUGGCGAUAUACAGUCAGCGACUAAGCGAAAGCGUUAAGUAUUCCACCUGGGGAGUACGUUCGCAAGAAUGAAACUCAAAGAAAUUGGCGGGGGUCCGCACAAGCGGUGGAUUAUGUGGUUUAAUUCGAUGAUACGCGAGGAACCUUACCAGGCUAGAAUGGGAGAGAAUAUAGUGAAAGCUUAUAGCUAGCAAUAGCUGCUUCCAAGUGCUGCAUGGUUGUCGUCAGCUCGUGCCGUGAGGUGUUGGGUUAAGUCCCGCAA
This 1023-nucleotide ribosomal RNA is filed under the name uncultured bacterium. RNAcentral's name for it is "bacterial SSU rRNA". It matches the Rfam family "Bacterial small subunit ribosomal RNA", at positions 51 to 1092 of the family's 1533-position model. The record is from RNAcentral.